GGGCGUUUGGUCUAGGGGUAUGAUUUCCCCUUCGCAGAGUACGUGAUUCAUCACGUGAUCUCAAAUGGGGAAGGUCAUGGGUUCAAUUCCCAUAAUGUCCA
RNAcentral lists this transfer RNA (101 nucleotides) under Pseudogymnoascus sp. VKM F-3775. It matches the Rfam family "tRNA". Rfam says of the family: Transfer RNA (tRNA) molecules are approximately 80 nucleotides in length. Their secondary structure includes four short double-helical elements and three loops (D, anti-codon, and T loops). Further hydrogen bonds mediate the characteristic L-shaped molecular structure. tRNAs have two regions of fundamental functional importance: the anti-codon, which is responsible for specific mRNA codon recognition, and the 3' end, to which the tRNAs corresponding amino acid is attached (by aminoacyl-tRNA synthetases). tRNAs cope with the degeneracy of the genetic code in two manners: having more than one tRNA (with a specific anti-codon) for a particular amino acid; and 'wobble' base-pairing, i.e. permitting non-standard base-pairing at the 3rd anti-codon position. The record is from Rfam by way of RNAcentral. Lineage: Eukaryota; Fungi; Ascomycota; Leotiomycetes; Thelebolales; Thelebolaceae.